GCUAUGAGAAACCUACUAAGUGAUCUCUGCAAAGAGACACUCAUAUAGCAAUAUUAGGGAGAAUAAGCAACAGGAAACAUCUUACAGACUUUGUUCUUUGUCACCUUAUGCUCAGGGUACAGUAUAUGUAAGCUUUGUCCUUUUAUGCCCCCAACCUUGGUGGCUAGCUAAGGAUCUGCUGCAGGACGGAUUUGUGCUGCUUACUGUUUGGGUGGUGGCCUCCCUAUUCAGAUUAUCUCAUGAGGGAAGAAUUGCUGGAUGUGAAGUCACCACAGCCCUCCUUCUAUGCUAUUCACUCCAUGUUUUAAUAUGCUUAGAUAUGGGCUCUUUUUUUUUCUUACAGGGUUUGGGAGGGAAGCAGGGUGGUCCUCAUUAUCGGGUUGUCUACUUACUUUAUGAUGUCAAAUCAGUGCAAAUGAGGAGACAGGUUCCUGGCUAGGACUGAGGAGAACAGGUCCAAAGUUGUAGGCCUUCAUUAUCGAAGAAGAAUCAGUCUAUUCACGUGGUGUCAGUAAAUCAAAAAUCCUGUUUUGUAGGCCAGCUCUGUAUGUUGGCAUAGUAAGCACAUGAUCACAUCUGACAUUAUAUCCUUUCAAGGACAAGGAUGUGCACAGGAUCCAGUUACAUCCAGCCCACUGCCAUACCAAUCAGAGCCAGCUCCUGAGGCUGCAUCUCCUGGCUUCUGAACAAGGCAGGGGAGCAGGGGGAGCUUUGACUUCUUCCACUAAAGCCACGAGAUAAUGAUGAACGGUCUUCCUGCUGCCAGAGAGCAGCACAGGAGGCUGUGUUGCAACGGGUGUGCACAAAUCACCCACUAAGAAAUGUUGCUGAUCCCAGAGGAGAGAUUCAGAUCGGCAAAAUAUCCCAUUCUAGGAAAAUUGUCUCUUCAGUUCUGGGUUAUGAUGCACGAGUGUCUUUACUGCUUAGCUACAGGAAAAGCAGAUUUCUGCUGUGACAUUUUUAUUCAGCAUCAUGGCCAGCUGGAAAAAUCCAUUAUAGAGGCAGAAUUGUGGACCAGAUGGAAGUUUACCCUGACUUGGUAGGGCCACCUCUGUGUUACUGCAGUGAAACACAAAUAUCAGACUUCCAGAAUUUGGAGGUUUUUCUUCAUAAGGACAGACCAACAAAAUCAAAAUGUGAUUGAACUGAAACAUCAUGCAUAAUAUUAGUAUUAUGUAAAACAACUUUUUGAAACCAUAGCUAAGAAAAUGAAUGAAAAUAAAGUAUA
Cygnus olor (mute swan) is the source of this 1228-nucleotide long non-coding RNA. RefSeq lists it as uncharacterized. The transcript has 3 exons. NCBI's taxonomy places the organism in Eukaryota, Metazoa, Chordata, Aves, Anseriformes, Anatidae. The record is from RefSeq and is a predicted model, not a curated record.